GUUCGAGUAAUUGUGGACUCCAAAAGAGAAACAUCGCUCAGGUUCCUCGAUGAGGAUAAGACGCGAGGAUCCUUGGUGGACAUUCUCGGAGAGAUAUGGUUAAUAGUUAUGGUUAAUAGUCGCCAUUUGUAUAAGCUCUGUAUCUGUGUUCUGCUGCGGUUUUCGUUAUGGAGAGUAACAGUGAAACAGAGGCGCAGAGCGAAACAAAAAAC
RNAcentral lists this unclassified non-coding RNA (212 nucleotides) under Hevea brasiliensis (rubber tree). The record is from RNAcentral. Lineage: Eukaryota; Viridiplantae; Streptophyta; Magnoliopsida; Malpighiales; Euphorbiaceae.